CCCAGCUGUGAACAACAUAGUAAAAGGCAGGAAGGAUUACACCUUAAAGCUUACUGCUCCGUGCCCCUGUGUGUGUGACCCAGAGGGAUGAGGGUCACUGUGUGUGGCAGUCAGUGACCAAUACAGGGAGCUCCUUUGGGGCCUUGGGCACCGCUGGUCCUCUCAGCUGUGGCUGGAGUGGCGGGAUCCUAGGAUAUAAAGGUGAACAAAACUGGCAAAAUGCUGACCACCUGGGGUUGAAGUUCAACCAUUCAGAAAUGUAGUCUUUGUUACCUCUAUUUGGGGGCAUUUAUUGAGAUUUCCUCCAUUGGCUAGUAUGUGAACAAGUCGUCUAAAAAAAAAAGUGUUUUCUCAGUUUGUUAAAUAAAGUUCUCUCACUU
Molecule: long non-coding RNA, 380 nt
Organism: Manis javanica (Malayan pangolin)
Lineage: Eukaryota; Metazoa; Chordata; Mammalia; Pholidota; Manidae
Source: RefSeq, a predicted model, not a curated record